AGAACAGAUUUGUCACUGAUGCUAAUGCAUGCUGCUCUGCAGGGGACUACUCUCCCUCGAAGCUCCCCAUAGCUGCUCUCAGUUUUAUGGAUCUGCUCUACCCAAAGCCUUGCAGAAGGGGCAGGGGAUGCCCUGGUUAACCCCUGCACAUAGCAAGGUGGAGAAGUUUUCAUGCAUAGCUGGGACAAAGAACACUGGAAAGAGAAAGAAAAACUUCCUGAGCUACUGCUAAGCCAGAAAAGCUCAGCUCUCAAAUGGACUAUCUCCUGAGACCUCACACAGCUGGGAACUGAUCUGCAAUACAGCAAAGCUUGAAAAGUGGUCUCAGCUUCAUAUCUACUGUCAGUGCUAAGGCAAACUUGAAAACAGAAGAAUUUUUUCAAGGCUUUGAAAUUUCUAUGCUUUCAGGCACCUGUUCACCGAAGUUGAGGCUGGUCACAACUCCGGCGGCCCAAGGAGCUGCUCGGUUCACCCACAGGGGAUGAGAGCUGCCUGCCUGCUGCUGCUUGGAGAGCCCCAGACAGUCGCUUGAAGAGGUGUGUGGAUGGCUCCUAGAUCUUGACUUGCU
This 568-nucleotide small RNA is filed under the name Pongo abelii (Sumatran orangutan). RNAcentral's name for it is "processed transcript". The record is from RNAcentral. Lineage: Eukaryota; Metazoa; Chordata; Mammalia; Primates; Hominidae.